AAGUUCCUUUGGGCCACGUUAGUUUACAGAAAGAUUCUUGAAUGGGGUUAGACUUCUCGGGUUUGGGUACAAUUCAAAGUGGUCAGUGUUGUCGCUAACAUCUGUGUGUCUGCACCCUCUAGGUGACACAUCGGGACAAGAGGAAGACGCGGAGUCCACUGACGAGGAGGAAGUUUCAACGCAGCGGGAGAAUGCAGUAGAAUAUGUUACUCAAUCCCUUGAAGAUGCUCCUGAGGAUCCAAUUGUGCAGGAGGAAAUCGCAUUUUAUGAAGGAAUUUUAAUGUUUAUAUUACUGUUCUCCAGCAUCGUUUUGAUUUUUAUUGUAUUAUAUAAACCAACCAUUGACGAGUUGUGGCGGGUGUAAAUGGUAUAUUCUGCGUUGUAUCCAUUUGUCAAUUGUUUCCCCCUCGAUUCAUUAAACCCGUCUUUCUGGCUCAAAAA
Non-coding RNA from Vicugna pacos (alpaca), 441 nucleotides. The record is from RefSeq and is a predicted model, not a curated record. NCBI's taxonomy places the organism in Eukaryota, Metazoa, Chordata, Mammalia, Artiodactyla, Camelidae.